ACCACCCAGUGCGCAAAACCCCCAGUUCCACACUCAUCUGAUAAGGGCUAUAAUCUGAUACAUGUAGAGGCUACCAAGUUAGAGAAGGCUGCUGUAAUUGAAAUAAUCUUGGAUGUUUUGGACUUCACCUCCCAGAAUCCCUUACAAUGGUCCAUGCUGGCUGGGACUUCUAGAAGCUGAACUCCACAACAUCCAGGCCAAAGUUUGAGAACCACUAACAAGAGCACUCUAAUAAAGCAUUAUAAGCACUUCACCAAACUACAAAUCCCAGGAUUCUGUAAGAUGGAGCCAUGGAAGUUAAAUGAAUAUCAAAAUCUAAUGUAGAUAUCUUUGUCUCUUUCAUGCUGCAUUAUGAUAGCAUUGUGAUACUACUAUAAUUGCUAUGGCUUCAUCCUGUAGAAACAUGGGGUUUGUAGUUUGGUGUAGUACAAAUCCCAGGAAUCCAUGGGAUGGAGCUGUGUCAGUUACAACAGAAUAAAGUGCUAUGAUUGUGUAGUGCAAAGGGGCUCUUUCUCAUCCUAGUUGUAAUAAACAUAUAUGGCUAAAUCCAAUGCUUCUGUAUUUGUUGCCACAGAACUUCCUUACCCUUCUUUCUGCACCUCCUUCUGCAGCCCUCUUAUUGCUACCUAAAAACCAGCUUUGGAUUGGGUUCCAAUCGAAUAGAACCUAUUUUGGAAGGGAAAGAGAGCUGUAGCAAAGGGGUGGGUGGCAAAUAUGCUAUUCUGUCAACAAAAGUCAAGAUUGGAUUCUCCUGAUGGCUUCUAUCCCUGAAUACUUUGUACAGUGUAUCAUUUAUUCUGAUACGAUUAUACAGCUGUAGUUAUCACAAGUAAUUUGUUUAACAAUUUAUUUAUUUAUUUAUUUAUUUAUUUCAUUUUUAUAUCACCUUUCUCCCAAAAAGGCUCACAAGAUGAAAACACUUUUAAAAACAUUAUUUAAAAAACAAUUAACCUAGUUAAAACAGUGUAAAAUUAAGAUUAAAAACAUACAAAAUUUAAAAAACAUAAUCUAAAAACAACUCCGCAUUUGUGGUUAGAUUUUAAAGAAAAGGUUGCAGCACUGAGCAGCACUGAGAAGAUCAGAUAAAAGUAACUGAGAGACUGCCCAUGCUUUUUUUCACAUCUUCAUUCACACAAAUAACAAGUGGCUCACAUUAAGUGAGGAACACUAUGACAGGGUGCCCUCUGACAGAUUGCAUCUCUUGUUUACAGUAAACCUCUAGAAACACAUUAGAGUAAUGAGCCAGACAUGAUGGUGAAAGGAAGCUUCUUUCAUUUCAACAGGGACCCUGCUCUUAGGAAAACUGUCUUUGGAUCCUGGAUUGGACAGAGUGUUCUCUCCUAGCUUAUUUCUCAAGUUCUUCUGCAGUGACUAGAAGCUGAAGACUGCAACACACAAAACAAAAGUUAAUUUCUUUAACGGCCAGAUGGUAUUAAAACCCUCUCUCCUGUUAAUGGUGCAAAGCGGGCUAAAAGCAGCGAUCAAAACAAUUGCAGUUACAAGACACUUAAAGGUAUGUCACAUCCAAGGUCUCUGACAUAUUUGAUUCAUUUAUGGAAUUUUAACUCUUGUUUUUUCUUUAGUUUAGACAGUUGUUCUCAACUUUUUUUCAAAUGGAUGACUUGAAAAUUGCUAGGGCUCUUGACAGACUCCCUGACUAAAUGUUUUCAUUGUUGCCAUUGUUCUACAAAUCAAAGCACACACUUAAGUCAUGUGAAACCCAUACAAGCACACAGCUAAAAGCAGUAAAUAGACUUUAGCUGAAUAGUGGGCAAUGAAGACUAUGCUUCCUGACCAAAUGCAGCUGAGUAAAACAAUGCAAGUAGUGUAUGAGAGUGAUGCCAGUUCAUGCAGGAGGUAGAGUUGCACGUGUCAAUUAAAUAUAAAGAAGAGUAAAAUAGAUCUUUUUUUUCCUCUUCAGUUCCAGUAUAAUUGUCAAAGCCAACAUGGUGUAAUAAAAAUCAGAGGCCCUUGACCAGGCACCUAAGAAGGGCUCUCUUAACCAGCAUUUUGCUAAAGGAAACCAAGCAGACUGUGAUAGUUCUUUACGAUCAAAAUUGUGGGACCGCUAGACUGGGACUUACCCAGUCAAGAAAAUAAAAGUGCAGAGCUAUGUACGAUAAAUUAAGUUUCUAGUCUUCCCAUGGUCCACCUGAGUGAUGCUGAAGGCCACUAUGCAAAGGGAUCUUGUAGCACCUUUGGCUACUGUUUAAGAACCUGUGACUUAGAUUUUUUAAAAGUUGGGGGGGGGGGGGGGGAUUAGGCAUCAGAUAGACCCAUCAGUGGUUACUAGCUAUGUGACCUAUGGAACUUGCAGGAUUUCAUCAGCCCCAAGAAGCAAGCACUGGGAUAAACACCAGGAUGGCUUUCUCAUACUUAUGCUUCCUGUAGGAAGCAUAAGUAUGAGACUUCCUAGCUGGCUGCUUGUUGGUGAUGGAAAGCUGAUCUGAGUGUAACCAGCAUGUAUACCAAUGCAGAUUUUUAAAUACCAUGUUUUCCUGUGUGCUUAUGUGUAGAAUGACUAGUUCAUGCUUUUUAAUUAGAUUUACUUCCUUCCUGACCAUAGGAAGGAAUUUCAUUUCAUUUUCAGAUUGCACUUUGAUAUUCUGUGCUGGGGAGGCCUGCAGCCUUUCCAGAUAUAUCCUGUAAUUUAUGUUAUCAUGUGUCAUCUGUCUCAUUAUUUUUACUGUUAUUCUAAGGGGUGGGUGGGAGUGAAACCUUAAGUCUGGCAGCUUCAAAGUCAGCUGUAAACAUAAGUAUACACUUCAGAAAUGUGUUGGCUGUCUGUGGUCUUUUCUAUCCAGUCUUCAGAAGUAUUUGAAGCUGUUGAUGGGAUUAAUCCACACUGAUAGAUGUGUGACUAAAGGUCUGCUGUCCUGUAUUUUUACACUGUGUUCUGUUUUAUCAUUAAAUAUAAUUGAUGAAGUUAAAACACA
Long non-coding RNA from Sceloporus undulatus (fence lizard), 2936 nucleotides. RefSeq lists it as uncharacterized. The record is from RefSeq and is a predicted model, not a curated record. NCBI's taxonomy places the organism in Eukaryota, Metazoa, Chordata, Lepidosauria, Squamata, Phrynosomatidae. The transcript has 2 exons.